CUAAGUGAGCAUUAGGUGCCAUACCAGCUGCUACACCUUUAGCAUUACCAAAAACACUUGCAUCUUUUAUGAAUCUUCCUGCAGCCUCCGCAGCAGUGUGCGUUCCAUGGAAAAUGUUUUCAAAUGGAGGCUCUUGAAUCGUACUUUUGACUAAACUUCUUGCACCAAUGAGCUUAUUGUUGCAUAUUUUCAUUCCAUUGAAUUCACAAUGGCCUUUCCAUUUUGCAGGUGGCGGCGGCAUUCCUUCGUCAUUGAAUGAUGGAUGAGAAGGGAAUAUUCCUGAGUCUAUGACUCCAAUUAUGACACCUUUUCCAAGGUUAUCAUCAUUCCACAACCCCUGUCCAUGCUUCAGACCCAAGAAAGUUGGACUGUGAGUUGUGUGUAAUGAAAGUGUCCUUUCAGGUCUUGCUAACAAAAUUCCAUCUUUCUCUUGAAGAGAUUUGGCUUCUUCUGGUGUC
This 458-nucleotide long non-coding RNA is filed under the name Medicago truncatula (barrel medic). Its description in RNAcentral is "long non-coding RNA (MTRU_LNC002759)". Lineage: Eukaryota; Viridiplantae; Streptophyta; Magnoliopsida; Fabales; Fabaceae. The record is from RNAcentral.